Molecule: non-coding RNA, 72 nt
Organism: Bos taurus (domestic cattle)
Lineage: Eukaryota; Metazoa; Chordata; Mammalia; Artiodactyla; Bovidae
Source: Rfam
UCCCUGAUAGGUUGGCUGGUAAAGAAUCUGCCUGCAAAGCAGGAGACCCAGGUUCAAUUCCUGGGAUGGGAA